GGAUAUAAGGGUGAUCUGGCUGAGGUACCUAUCACCCUAUUGAUUGUAGGGUUGAUUUAACUGAUCCAGUUGGCUAAAUGGGCAUCUCUUCCUCCCUUACUGCUUCAUUUUCAUGUGUGUCCUUUCCAAAGCUGUGUUUCCUUCCAAAACAAGUUCUCAAAACGAGCUUUGGGCUAGGGUUGUAGCCUAAUGGUGGACCAUAUGUGCUGGGUUUUAGGUAUGCCUUACAAUUGAUGAUUCCAGUGUUUUCUGUGGCUUACCAUGUUCAGAAUCCAUGCUGUUUUAAAAUUCCACACACCUCUGUAUGAAUUUCUAC
Molecule: small nuclear RNA, 316 nt
Filed under: Mus musculus (house mouse)
Lineage: Eukaryota; Metazoa; Chordata; Mammalia; Rodentia; Muridae
Description: 7SK RNA
Rfam family: 7SK RNA
About the family: 7SK was discovered as an abundant small nuclear RNA in the mid-70s but a possible function has only recently been suggested. Two independent studies have found that 7SK RNA binds the CDK9/cyclin T complex (known as elongation factor P-TEFb).
Source: Rfam by way of RNAcentral